RNAcentral lists this long non-coding RNA (1104 nucleotides) under Oncorhynchus mykiss (rainbow trout). Its description in RNAcentral is "lncRNA (ENSOMYG00000062555.1)". Lineage: Eukaryota; Metazoa; Chordata; Actinopteri; Salmoniformes; Salmonidae. The record is from RNAcentral.
AUGCACUCCACUUCACUCUUUGAUCUAACAAGGCCCAGGGUGAGUUCCUCCCUGUCUGAUCUUACAAGGCCCAGGGUGACUUCCUCCCUGUCUGAUCUUACAAGGCCCAGGGGGACUUCCUCCCUGUCUGAUCUUACAAGGCCCAGGGUGACUUCCUCCCUGUCUGAUCUUACAAGGCCCAGGUUGAGUUCCUCUCUGUCUGAUCUUACAAGGCCCAGGGGGACUUCCUCCCUGUCUGAUCUUACAAGGCCCAGGGGGACUUCCUCCCUGUCUGAUCUUACAAGGCCCAGGGGGACUUCCUCCAUGUCUGAUCUUUCAAGGCCCAGGGGGACUUCCUCCCUGUCUGAUCUUACAAGGCCCAGGGUGAGUUCCUCCCUGUCUGAUCUUACAAGGCCCAGGGUGACUUCCUCCCUGUCUGAUCUUUCAAGGGCCACGGUUACUUCCUCCCUGUCUGAUCUUACAAGGCCCAGGGGGACUUCCUCCAUGUCUGAUCUUUCAAGGCCCAGGGGGACUUCCUCCAUGUCUGAUCUUUCAAGGCCCAGGGGGACUUCCUCCCUGUCUGAUCUUACAAGGCCCAGGGGGACUUCCUCCCUGUCUGAUCUUACAAGGCCCAGGGGGACUUCCUCCCUGUCUGAUCUUUCAAGGCCCAGGGGGACUUCCUCCCUGUCUGAUCUUACAAGGCCCAGGGGGACUUCCUCCAUGUCUGAUCUUUCAAGGCCAUGGGGGACUUCCUCCCUGUCUGAUCUUACAAGGCCCAGGGGGACUUCCUCCAUGUCUGAUCUUUCAAGGCCCAGGGGGACUUCCUCCCUGUCUGAUCUUACAAGGCCCAGGGGGACUUCCUCCCUGUCUGAUCUUACAAGGCCCAGGGGGACUUCCUCCAUGUCUGAUCUUUCAAGGCCCAGGGGGACUUCCUCCCUGUCUGAUCUUACAAGGCCCAGGGUGAGUUCCUCCCUGUCUGAUCUUUCAAGGCCCAGGGUGACUUCCUCCCUGUCUGAUCUUUCAAGGGCCACGGUUACUUCCUCCCUGUCUGAUCUUACAAGGCCCAGGCCCAGGGUGAGUUCCUCCCUGCCUCUCUUCAGGCUUUUAUCUGAUGACUCUUUCUGA